GGGGGCCAUGGGACUGUGUGCAGUGGGGAGGAGAGGUAUAGGAAGCCAGUGAUGCCUGGGGAAUAACUGUAUAAGGAGAUUCAUGGGAGGGUUUAGAUUGUGUGUGUGAGUCAGAGGUACUGUAUUUUAGUGAGCCCAGGGUUAGAGUUGGGAUUAUGGACAGGCCUAUGGGGGAUUGGAUGGCAGUGCAGUUGCUCACAGCUGGCCUUAAGCCCAAGAUGUGGUCAGUUGCUCCAUGCAGAUCUGGAAACUCAUAAGCUGGCUCGAUCUCUCUCUCUAGUCUUCCCUGGACUACUGGACUGGUGGAGAGGUAGCUGUGGCAGCAGGAGACUGCACAUGUCAUGAGGAAGAAGAGCUUGUGAAGGGAGGAAAAAUUGUGACUUGGAGGCCUAGAAAAGGUUGUUUGGCAAGGAACCUUUCUGAUGACGAAUCUCACCAGAAUAAAUUUUCUGAUUUCCCUUGCUACGAAAGUGACACCAGUCAUGUGGAUUCGGAUUCCUCUGGGCCUCCUAUUAAAUGUCUUGGUGACUUUGAUGACUUCCAGAGUGACCUUGAGAGCUGGGAGUUAAAUGACGAAGCCUGCGCUGCAUCUUUCCAUGAGCUGAAAAUUAAUCCUCAAUACGAGGAAGAGGAUUGGGAUAAAGAAUUGGAGGCUGCUGAAUGUAAUCCAUACGAUGCGGAAGAUAUCGACUGUGAUAGUCUUCAGGGAAGUGAUCUAUUGCCAUCCUGUGCGUGGGAAGAAGAAUUCUUGUAUGACCCCAGGUGUCACCAUGCAGCUCCACUCACUCUGAGUUUGCCAAAUAGAUUGCCUGAGGUUGGCCAGUUUGAUGAUGCAGAUGUUUGAUGAUGCAGAGGUUUGCCUCUAUUCAGGGCUGUACUUGGCAAACUGGAUUGUGCUCCAUUGCAGAGAUGCACUGCAAGAUGGUGCACCUUCACCUACCCCAUUGGUUUCAAAACAGGGGCAGUAAUUCUCUACCUUCCCUGGAAACUUUCCUCGAGACUGUCCUUGAGCUACAAAUAAACUGAUCAUGACGACUGGUAGGAAGAAGAGAGGAUCUCGGACUGGACGCUAAUCCUAGGCAUCAGUGCUGUUUUGUAGCGUGUUUCAUUUUCAUGGUUUUUUUUAAAGGGAAAAAAAAAAGCUGUUGGAGACGUAUGAUUUUUAAACGAUGGCUCAGUAACUGGGAUUAGCCAGGUCUAACCUAGAUCUCAUCAUAUAACUUUAAUUUUUCUUCUUUUAUUUGGCAUUAAUUGUCAAGUUGGGAUUAAAUCUUCUUUUUCUUGUUAUAGAUUCUACGUCAUAAGUAGCAUGACCACAUUGUGUUUGAAGUGUAAGCCUCUGACAGGCAGAGAGUAUGCAACAAUAUUUAGUCAUGAGAAAUACAGAAGGCUUUGUUCUUUA
Non-coding RNA from Pelodiscus sinensis (Chinese soft-shelled turtle), 1402 nucleotides. The record is from RefSeq and is a predicted model, not a curated record. NCBI's taxonomy places the organism in Eukaryota, Metazoa, Chordata, Testudines, Trionychidae.